UACGGAGGGUGCGAGCGUUAAUCGGAAUUACUGGGCGUAAAGGGUGCGUAGGUUGCUGCUUAAGUUAGCUGUGAAAUACCCGGGCUUAACCUGGGGGAGUCAGCUAAGACUGAGGAGCUUGAGUAUAGGAGAGGGUAGUGGAAUUUCCGGUGUAGCGGUGAAAUGCGUAGAGAUCGGAAGGAACACCAGUGGCGAAGGCGGCUACCUGGCCAGAUACUGACACUGAGGCACGAAAGCGUGGGGAGCAAACAGG
RNAcentral lists this ribosomal RNA (253 nucleotides) under uncultured bacterium. RNAcentral's name for it is "partial 16S ribosomal RNA". It matches the Rfam family "Bacterial small subunit ribosomal RNA", at positions 524 to 776 of the family's 1533-position model. RNAcentral also lists the same sequence under 1 other name. The record is from RNAcentral.